UCUCCGUUGGUGAACCAGCGGAGGGAUCAUUACCGAGUGCAAACUCAUAACCCUUUGUGAACCUAUUUCUGUUGCUUCGGCGGCUCGCUCUCGGUCGAGCCCGCCGGUAAUAUCAGUAUCUCUUUUUGAAACCGACGAUACUUCUUAGUGUUCUUAGCGAACAGUUAAAACUUUUAACAACGGAUCUCUUGGCUCUA
This 197-nucleotide unclassified non-coding RNA is filed under the name plant metagenome. Its description in RNAcentral is "partial contains small subunit ribosomal RNA, internal transcribed spacer 1, and 5.8S ribosomal RNA". The record is from RNAcentral.